GUGAAAAGGGUUAAAAGGAGCUGUUGGCAAUCAUCUUAGGUGGGCGGGUGAGUCCAGAGUACAGACUCUGUCAGAGAGGUCAAAGCCUGGGGCUUUUCAGAGAAGGGAGGAUUAUGGGUUUUCUAAUUACAUAAGUCAGAAGUAGAAAAAGGGACACAAACUAAGAAGGGUGCUGAGCGCUCGUCACCUGGAGGGACUUGUGCCUCUCUCAGUGGUAGUAGAGGGGCUACUUCUUCCUGCCACGGUCAUGAUUGAGAGGCAACGGGUGGCGAGUCUACAGGGGACGUCGUCGAGCAGACAUGGGAUAACUUUAAGGGAGAAGGUUGGUUGUAAGGCGGUGGGACUGGGUGAGGGAGACUCUCCUCUUCUUCAGAGGGAGGCAGUACAGGGGGAGCUGAACUGGCUGAGGGUCGAGGCGAAAACUCGGUCUGGCUUAGGAGGACCUUGGAGGUAGAAUUAUGAAUGGCUCAUGAACGGAGCCAUGGAGAGUGGAUCCUGACUAAACUUAGCUAUUGAUCAAUGUAGAGAAACUGAUCAGGGUGGCUAGGAGUUUCAGUAACAACCUGCCACACAGCUUGAACAGUUGUGAGGUUCAAUGACCCUUCAGGGGGCCACUUGACUUUAAACUUUGGCCAUUUUAUUUUGCAGAGUGUCUGGAGCUUACCUUUUUUAAGGCGGACUUUAUAAUCCUCUGAACUGAGAGAAAAAUUCUGCAGCAUACAUUGGAGAGGGCUUUAACUUUACAAGGCUGGGAGGAAGUGUUUCUUAUUUUUUUUUUUAAGGCAAUUUAAUAAGAUUUGAGCAUAGAUAUUAAACUUAGCAUGGACAGAGAAACUUAUUUCUUGGGGGACUGGCAUAGUGAAAGAACAGAAUCAAUAUGACUAGAAAGAGCAGAAAAACUUAAAACAGCUAAUACUACUUGCUACAUUGCUGUAGCUUUAAGAUUGAGGGAGGAGGACUAGAGCCAGCCUGAGAUCUUCUGGGUCAGUUUGAUCUAGGCGUUCUUCUUCUUCUUCUAGAUCUGCGCUUUAAAUACUUUUGGUGUCUUUAUGACUUAAAGGCAAAUAGCUUAAACUUAGCUUUUUCUUUUAAGGGUUUAAGGAGUGAGAACAGAGCCAAGUCCUGGAGACGGUGAACUUGCUGUCGCACCAGAAAACGAGAUGUGCAGGAUAGGGGGCAGGGACAAGGCGGAAAAGGACUACUCGGAUCAUUUUUAAGAUGGGAGAGUAGCCACAGAGGAGCAGAGUAAGAAUCUAAACGAGGUAAAGCAGUACGGGCGUACAUUUCUUUACACGGUGUUCUACUGAAGGGCACAGGAAAAGUUACAGAAUGACAAGAGAGACAGACAAGGGGAGGGGCUCCUGUGAUGGGAUCAGUCAGAUGCCUGCCUGGCCGCUCCCCCUGAGGGGACUUGGGCUCCUCUUAACAUUGGCAGGCUGGUAUAAACUUCCGGCUCAGAUCAAGCUAUGCCUGAUGCUGCCUUAAGCCUUAUGAGGUCGCCACGGAACCGCAGAAACUCCUGGAGGGCAGAGCUGUGUCUGCCAUCUUCAUCAUUGCAUUACCACCACCAAGCACAGUGCCUGGCACAAAAGAGUUGCUCAAUAAAUAAAUCAGGAUGAAUGGAUAAAUACAUGGAUAGGCACUUUGAGCUACAGAUGAGUUUAAAUACUUUGUGUUUUUCUUAGUCAAACAUGUGCAAUUAAGCAUGUGAUAAAUGAUAUGAUGACCACACCUGUGUGUUGCCUGAUGUUCUUUGCAAUCACUAAAUGAAGUCAAUUGUGCCUGUUUUGACAGUUCUGUUUUCAACCUAAUGAUCUGUUUCUUUUAACUUCUGGCUGUUGGCUUUGUUUGGGUUUGUUAGCCUGACAAAGUGGCAGACAUUAGUAUUUGCUCUUUUGUUUAAAUGUCAUGAACUUUAAAAAUGCCUUUGCUUUUGGUAAGAAACCCUAGUUAGGACAGUCUAGCAGUCAGGAUGAUUUGGGUUCUGGUGCAGUAACAACAAUCC
Molecule: long non-coding RNA, 2005 nt
Filed under: Homo sapiens (human)
Lineage: Eukaryota; Metazoa; Chordata; Mammalia; Primates; Hominidae
Description: HSALNT0177298
Source: RNAcentral